CGGAUCUAGAGCGCGGUCAUCUCGCCGGUGUCGUGCACGGGGACCCGCUGCGGGUUCGGUUCCCACAGGUCCGGCC
This 76-nucleotide transfer RNA is filed under the name Micromonospora phaseoli. RNAcentral's name for it is "tRNA-Thr". The record is from RNAcentral. Lineage: Bacteria; Bacillati; Actinomycetota; Actinomycetes; Micromonosporales; Micromonosporaceae.